UCCCUCACUGCUGAGGAUUGCGACCACA
Molecule: small RNA, 28 nt
Filed under: Bombyx mori (domestic silkworm)
Lineage: Eukaryota; Metazoa; Arthropoda; Insecta; Lepidoptera; Bombycidae
Description: ovarian small RNA-7310
Source: RNAcentral